AUGCCAGACUCCUACGGGAGGCAGCAGUGAGGAAUAUUGGUCAAUGGGCGCGAGCCUGAACCAGCCAAGUCGCGUGAGGGAUGACGGCCCUACGGGUUGUAAACCUCUUUUGUCGGGGAGCAAAUUCCGCCACGUGUGGCGGAGUCGAGAGUACCCGAAGAAAAAGCAUCGGCUAACUCCGUGCCAGCAGCCGCGGUAAUACGGAGGAUGCGAGCGUUAUCCGGGUUUAUUGGGUUUAAAGGGUGCGUAGGCGGACUGUCAAGUCAGCGGUAAAAUACGGGGGCUCAACCCCGUCCGGCCGUUGAAACUGGGGGCCUUGAGUGGGCGAGAAGAAGGCGGAAUGCGUGGUGUAGCGGUGAAAUGCAUAGAUAUCACGCAGAACUCCGAUUGCGAAGGCAGCAUACCGGCGCCCAACUGACGCUCAGGCACGAAAGCGUGGGUAUCGAACAGGAUUAGAUACCCGCGUA
RNAcentral lists this ribosomal RNA (467 nucleotides) under uncultured bacterium. Its description in RNAcentral is "bacterial SSU rRNA". It matches the Rfam family "Bacterial small subunit ribosomal RNA", at positions 328 to 792 of the family's 1533-position model. The record is from RNAcentral.